Molecule: ribosomal RNA, 301 nt
Filed under: uncultured bacterium
Lineage: Bacteria
Description: partial 16S ribosomal RNA
Rfam family: Bacterial small subunit ribosomal RNA
Source: RNAcentral
CAGUAGCCACGGGAAUACGAAGGGGGCUAGCGUUGCUCGGAAUUACUGGGCGUAAAGGGAGCGUAGGCGGACAUUUAAGUCAGGGGUGAAAUUCCGGGGCUCAACCUCGGAAUUGCCUUUGAUACUGGGUGUCUUGAGUAUGAGAGAGGUAUGUGGAACUCCGAGUGUAGAGGUGAAAUACGUAGAUAUUCGGAAGAACACCAGUGGCGAAGGCGACAUACUGGCUCAUUACUGACGCUGAGGCUCGAAAGCGUGGGGAGCAAACAGGAUUAGAUACCCCUGUAGUCCCUGUCUCUUAUAC